GAUCCUGGCUCAGAUUGAACGCUGGCGGCAGGCUUAACACAUGCAAGUCGAGCGGGGUGAGGUACUUCGGUACUGAUCCUAGCGGCGGACGGGUGAGUAACACGUAAGAACCUACCUUUGGAGGGGGACAACCACUGGAAACGGUGGCUAAUACCCCAUAGUGCUGAGAAGUGAAAUGAUGAAUAAUCGCCAAGAGAUGGGCUUGCGGCUGAUUAGCUUGUUGGUGAGGUAAUGGCUUACCAAGGCAAUGAUCAGUAGCUGGUCUGAGAGGAUGAUCAGCCACACUGGGACUGAGACACGGCCCAGACUCCUACGGGAGGCAGCAGUGAGGAAUUUUCCGCAAUGGGCGAAAGCCUGACGGAGCAAUGCCGCGUGAAGGAUGAAGGCCUAUGGGUUGUAAACUUCUUUUCUCAGAGAAGAAUUUUGACGGUAUCUGAGGAAUAAGCAUCGGCUAACUCUGUG
RNAcentral lists this ribosomal RNA (462 nucleotides) under uncultured bacterium. RNAcentral's name for it is "bacterial SSU rRNA". It matches the Rfam family "Bacterial small subunit ribosomal RNA", at positions 15 to 507 of the family's 1533-position model. The record is from RNAcentral.